Molecule: ribosomal RNA, 478 nt
Filed under: uncultured bacterium
Lineage: Bacteria
Description: partial 16S ribosomal RNA
Rfam family: Bacterial small subunit ribosomal RNA
Source: RNAcentral
GAUGAACGCUGGCGGCGUGCUUAACACAUGCAAGUCGAACGGUAAGGCCCUUCGGGGUACACGAGUGGCGAACGGGUGAGUAACACGUGGGUGAUCUGCCCUGCACUUCGGGAUAAGCCUGGGAAACUGGGUCUAAUACCGGAUAGGACCCUGGGAUGCAUGUCCUGGGGUGGAAAGCUUUUGCGGUGUGGGAUGGGCCCGCGGCCUAUCAGCUUGUUGGUGGGGUGAUGGCCUACCAAGGCGACGACGGGUAGCCGGCCUGAGAGGGUGACCGGCCACACUGGGACUGAGGUACGGCCCAGACUCCUACGGGAGGCAGCAGUGGGGAAUAUUGCACAAUGGGCGCAAGCCUGAUGCAGCGACGCCGCGUGAGGGAUGACGGCCUUCGGGUUGUAAACCUCUUUCAGCACCGACGAAGCGCAAGUGACGGUAGGUGCAGAAGAAGGACCGGCCAACUACGUGCCAGCCGCCGCAGUAA